RNAcentral lists this ribosomal RNA (496 nucleotides) under uncultured bacterium. RNAcentral's name for it is "partial 16S ribosomal RNA". It matches the Rfam family "Bacterial small subunit ribosomal RNA", at positions 28 to 507 of the family's 1533-position model. The record is from RNAcentral.
GAUGAACGCUGGCGGCGUGCCUAUACAUGCCAGUCGCGCGAACAGACGAGGAGCUUGCUCCUCUGACGUUAGCGGCGGACGGGUGAGUAACACGUGGAUAACCUACCUAUAAGACUGGGAUAACUUCGGGAAACCGGAGCUAAUACCGGAUAAUAUAUUGAACCGCAUGGUUCAAUAGUGAAAGACGGUUUUGCUGUCACUUAUAGAUGGAUCCGCGCCGCAUUAGCUAGUUGGUAAGGUAACGGCUUACCAAGGCAACGAUGCGUAGCCGACCUGAGAGGGUGAUCGGCCACACUGGAACUGAGACACGGUCCAGACUCCUACGGGAGGCAGCAGUAGGGAAUCUUCCGCAAUGGGCGAAAGCCUGACGGAGCAACGCCGCGUGAGUGAUGAAGGUCUUCGGAUCGUAAAACUCUGUUAUUAGGGAAGAACAAAUGUGUAAGUAACUAUGCACGUCUUGACGGUACCUAAUCAGAAAGCCACGGCUAACUACGUG